This 476-nucleotide ribosomal RNA is filed under the name uncultured organism. RNAcentral's name for it is "partial 16S ribosomal RNA". It matches the Rfam family "Bacterial small subunit ribosomal RNA", at positions 333 to 800 of the family's 1533-position model. The record is from RNAcentral.
ACACUCCUACGGGAGGCAGCAGUGGGGAAUUUUGGACAAUGGGGGCAACCCUGAUCCAGCAAUGCCGCGUGAGUGAAGAAGGCCUUCGGGUUGUAAAGCUCUUUUGUCAGGGAAGAAACGGUGGUGGCGAAUAACUACUACUAAUGACGGUACCUGAAGAAUAAGCACCGGCUAACUACGUGCCAGCAGCCGCGGUAAUACGUAGGGUGCAAGCGUUAAUCGGAAUUACUGGGCGUAAAGCGUGCGCAGGCGGUUGUGUAAGUCAGAUGUGAAAUCCCCGGGCUCAACCUGGGAAUUGCAUUUGAGACUGCACGGCUAGAGUGUGUCAGAGGGGGGUAGAAUUCCACGUGUAGCAGUGAAAUGCGUAGAUAUGUGGAGGAAUACCGAUGGCGAAGGCAGCCCCCUGGGAUAACACUGACGCUCAUGCACGAAAGCGUGGGGAGCAAACAGGAUUAGAUACCCCUGUAGUCCCAUGA